GGGUUGUGAGGUUAAGCGACUAAGCGUACACGGUGGAUGCCCUGGCAGUCAGAGGCGAUGAAGGACGUGCUAAUCUGCGAAAAGCGUCGGUAAGGUGAUAUGAACCGUUAUAACCGGCGAUGUCCGAAUGGGGAAACCCAGUGCAAUUCGUUGCACUAUCGUUAACUGAAUACAUAGGUUAACGAGGCGAACCGGGGGAACUGAAACAUCUAAGUACCCCGAGGAAAAGAAAUCAACCGAGAUUCCCCCAGUAGCGGCGAGCGAACGGGGAGCAGCCCAGAGUCUGAAUCAGCUUGUGUGUUAGUGGAACGGUCUGGAAAGUCCGACGGUACAGGGUGAUAGUCCCGUACACCAAAAUGCACAGGUUGUGAACUCGAAGAGUAGGGCGGGACACGUGGUAUCCUGUCUGAAUAUGGGGGGACCAUCCUCCAAGGCUAAAUACUCCUGACUGACCGAUAGUGAACCAGUACCGUGAGGGAAAGGCGAAAAGAACCCCGGCGAGGGGAGUGAAAAAGAACCUGAAACCGUGUACGUACAAGCAGUGGGAGCACCUUCGGGUGUGACUGCGUACCUUUUGUAUAAUGGGUCAGCGACUUAUAUUCUGUAGCAAGGUUAACCGUAUAGGGGAGCCGCAGGGAAACCGAGUCUUAACUGGGCGUUAAGUUGCAGGGUAUAGACCCGAAACCCGGUGAUCUAGCCAUGGGCAGGUUGAAGGUUGGGUAACACUAACUGGAGGACCGAACCGACUAAUGUUGAAAAAUUAGCGGAUGACUUGUGGCUGGGGGUGAAAGGCCAAUCAAACCGGGAGAUAGCUGGUUCUCCCCGAAAGCUAUUUAGGUAGCGCCUCGUGAACUCAUCUUCGGGGGUAGAGCACUGUUUCGGCUAGGGGGUCAUCCCGACUUACCAACCCGAUGCAAACUACGAAUACCGAAGAAUGUUAUCACGGGAGACACACGGCGGGUGCUAACGUCCGUCGUGAAGAGGGAAACAACCCAGACCGCCAGCUAAGGUCCCAAAGUCAUGGUUAAGUGGGAAACGAUGUGGGAAGGCACAGACAGCCAGGAUGUUGGCUUAGAAGCAGCCAUCAUUUAAAGAAAGCGUAAUAGCUCACUGGUCGAGUCGGCCUGCGCGGAAGAUGUAACGGGGCUAAACCAUGCACCGAAGCUGCGGCAGCGACACUAUGUGUUGUUGGGUAGGGGAGCGUUCUGUAAGCCUGCGAAGGUGUGCUGUGAGGCAUGCUGGAGGUAUCAGAAGUGCGAAUGCUGACAUAAGUAACGAUAAAGCGGGUGAAAAGCCCGCUCGCCGGAAGACCAAGGGUUCCUGUCCAACGUUAAUCGGGGCAGGGUGAGUCGACCCCUAAGGCGAGGCCGAAAGGCGUAGUCGAUGGGAAACAGGUUAAUAUUCCUGUACUUGGUGUUACUGCGAAGGGGGGACGGAGAAGGCUAUGUUAGCCGGGCGACGGUUGUCCCGGUUUAAGCAUGUAGGCUGGUUAUCCAGGCAAAUCCGGAUAAUCAAGGCUGAGGUGUGAUGACGAGGCACUACGGUGCUGAAGUAACAAAUGCCCUGCUUCCAGGAAAAGCCUCUAAGCAUCAGGUAACAUCAAAUCGUACCCCAAACCGACACAGGUGGUCAGGUAGAGAAUACCAAGGCGCUUGAGAGAACUCGGGUGAAGGAACUAGGCAAAAUGGUGCCGUAACUUCGGGAGAAGGCACGCUGGUGUGUAGGUGAAGUCCCUGCGGAUGGAGCUGAGACCAGUCGAAGAUACCAGCUGGCUGCAACUGUUUAUUAAAAACACAGCACUGUGCAAACACGAAAGUGGACGUAUACGGUGUGACGCCUGCCCGGUGCCGGAAGGUUAAUUGAUGGGGUUAUCCGUAAGGAGAAGCUCUUGAUCGAAGCCCCGGUAAACGGCGGCCGUAACUAUAACGGUCCUAAGGUAGCGAAAUUCCUUGUCGGGUAAGUUCCGACCUGCACGAAUGGCGUAAUGAUGGCCAGGCUGUCUCCACCCGAGACUCAGUGAAAUUGAACUCGCUGUGAAGAUGCAGUGUACCCGCGGCAAGACGGAAAGACCCCGUGAACCUUUACUAUAGCUUGACACUGAACAUUGAGCCUUGAUGUGUAGGAUAGGUGGGAGGCUUUGAAGCGUGGACGCCAGUCUGCGUGGAGCCAACCUUGAAAUACCACCCUUUAAUGUUUGAUGUUCUAACGUUGGCCCCUGACCGGGGUUGCGGACAGUGUCUGGUGGGUAGUUUGACUGGGGCGGUCUCCUCCCAAAGCGUAACGGAGGAGCACGAAGGUUAGCUAAUCCUGGUCGGACAUCAGGAGGUUAGUGCAAUGGCAUAAGCUAGCUUGACUGCGAGCGUGACGGCGCGAGCAGGUGCGAAAGCAGGUCAUAGUGAUCCGGUGGUUCUGAAUGGAAGGGCCAUCGCUCAACGGAUAAAAGGUACUCCGGGGAUAACAGGCUGAUACCGCCCAAGAGUUCAUAUCGACGGCGGUGUUUGGCACCUCGAUGUCGGCUCAUCACAUCCUGGGGCUGAAGUAGGUCCCAAGGGUAUGGCUGUUCGCCAUUUAAAGUGGUACGCGAGCUGGGUUUAGAACGUCGUGAGACAGUUCGGUCCCUAUCUGCCGUGGGCGCUGGAGAAUUGAGGGGGGCUGCUCCUAGUACGAGAGGACCGGAGUGGACGCAUCACUGGUGUUCGGGUUGUCAUGCCAAUGGCACUGCCCGGUAGCUAAAUGCGGAAGAGAUAAGUGCUGAAAGCAUCUAAGCACGAAACUUGCCCCGAGAUGAGUUCUCCCUGAGACUUUAAGUCUCCUGAAGGAACGUUGAAGACGACGACGUUGAUAGGCCGGGUGUGUAAGCGCAGCGAUGCGUUGAGCUAACCGGUACUAAUGAACCGUGAGGCUUAACCUUACAACGCCGAAG
This 2923-nucleotide ribosomal RNA is filed under the name Klebsiella pneumoniae. Its description in RNAcentral is "bacterial LSU rRNA". It matches the Rfam family "Bacterial large subunit ribosomal RNA". RNAcentral also lists the same sequence under 2 other names. Lineage: Bacteria; Pseudomonadati; Pseudomonadota; Gammaproteobacteria; Enterobacterales; Enterobacteriaceae. The record is from RNAcentral.